UACGGGGGGUGCGAGCGUUGUCCGGAAUCACUGGGCGUAAAGGGCGCGUAGGUGGCGUCGUAAGUUUGUGGUGAAAGCCUGGGGCUCAACCCCAGGUCUGCCGCGAAUACUGCGAGGCUUGAGUACUGUAGAGGCAGGUAGAAUAUCGGGAGUAGCGGUGGAAUGCGUAGAGAUCCGAUAGAAGACCGGUGGCGAAGGCGGCCUGCUGGGCAGUAACUGACACUGAGGCGCGACAGCGUGGGGAGCAAACAGG
RNAcentral lists this ribosomal RNA (253 nucleotides) under uncultured bacterium. Its description in RNAcentral is "partial 16S ribosomal RNA". It matches the Rfam family "Bacterial small subunit ribosomal RNA", at positions 524 to 776 of the family's 1533-position model. The record is from RNAcentral.